Molecule: non-coding RNA, 972 nt
Organism: Misgurnus anguillicaudatus (oriental weatherfish)
Lineage: Eukaryota; Metazoa; Chordata; Actinopteri; Cypriniformes; Cobitidae
Source: RefSeq, a predicted model, not a curated record
UCAAGCUACCGGCCGUGAGAACAAAAAACAUGGCGGACAUUCUCUCAUUUUUAAUGGAAAAAUCUAUAUUUUGAAUUUUCCAGAUCUCGCCAGAAUAAUGUGAAACUGAUACGUUUUGGUUGCUAUGGACACUGCCAGGGCUCGUCACAUGACGUCUUUUAAAGACUUUAUUAAAACCGCGUUCAGCUACAGGUAAAACAACAUUCAGAGGUGAUUUUAACAACGCUCCACGGCGCGUGAGAGUAAGCAUUUUAAGCGUUUUCUGAUCAUGUAGGUAAGUGCUUUUAUUAGACGUGAUGCAUGCUGGGUGGGAAAUUAUUUUUUAUCAAAGACUCGUUGAUGGUAAUUAAUAUAGAUAUGAAUAUACAUUUUGCAACCCUGUAUCACAUGAAAUACGUUCUGAGGAAACUAUUUUGCAAAUCGCAAUUACGUUACAUGCCAACAUAUAAGCAGUGCUAUUACGUUGGUCCUUAACCUAAUAUGACCCGUCGCCAUGGACACAAGGGGUCGGAUAUCUAAAGUUAAAUAUUUUUAACUUACGCGUGAAAUGGUUGAUUUUAAAAAUAUAUAUAUUCUAAGUAAACAACAACAGCCCAGGUUUAGUAAACAUUUUUUUAUUGAAACUAUAAAUAAAUAUUCUGCAUCCAUUUUAGGUGUGCCACUGUGGGUGGCUCCCGCACACCCCCGUGGCUACGCCCCUGCCGUGACCCAAAUCUCGUUCUCACAUCAUCGCGAUGUUUAUCAUCUAUUUACAAACAUAGCCAGUCGCCACAUCUUUUUUCUUCACAUACAUCUCAUACUCCUCCAUCUACACGCUCCACAACAUUUAAACCAACAGCUCUUUUAAGAGCUAUCACUUGCAAAAGCUCUCCUCACUCACUCACUCACUCACUCACUCACUCACUCACUCUCCAACUCACUCUCCAACUCACUCACUCACUCACUCACUCACUCACUCACUCACUCACUCAC